GACGAACGCUGGCGGCGUGCUUAACACAUGCGAGUCGAACGGAAAGGCCCUGCUUUUGUGGGGUGCUCGAGUGGCGAACGGGUGAGUAACACGUGAGUAACCUGCCCUUGACUUUGGGAUAACUUCAGGAAACUGGGGCUAAUACCGGAUAGGAGCUCCUGCUGCAUGGUGGGGGUUGGAAAGUUUCGGCGGUUGGGGAUGGACUCGCGGCUUAUCGGCUUGUUGGUGGGGUAGUGGCUUACCAAGGCUUUGACGGGUAGCCGGCCUGAGAGGGUGACCGGCCACAUUGGGACUGAGAGAGGGACCAGACUCCUACGGGAGGCAGCAGUGGGGAAUAUUGCACAAUGGGCGGAAGCCUGAGGCAGCAACGCCGCGUGCGGGAUGACGGCCUUCGGGUUGUAAACCGCUUUCGCCUGUGACGAAGCGUGAGUGACGGUAAUGGGUAAAGAAGCACCGGCUAACUACGUG
This 468-nucleotide ribosomal RNA is filed under the name uncultured bacterium. Its description in RNAcentral is "partial 16S ribosomal RNA". It matches the Rfam family "Bacterial small subunit ribosomal RNA", at positions 28 to 507 of the family's 1533-position model. The record is from RNAcentral.